RNAcentral lists this long non-coding RNA (647 nucleotides) under Androctonus crassicauda. The record is from RNAcentral. Lineage: Eukaryota; Metazoa; Arthropoda; Arachnida; Scorpiones; Buthidae.
UUUAUCGGUUUUUAGUAGUUAACGUAUUCUUUGUUCGAAUAUGUCAUGCCAAUAAAUGAUAUUCUUGUACUUUUUAUUUGCCAUUUUAUUGUAUUUUCGUCUGUUUUCAAUUAACUUAUAAGCAUUACUUUACAUAUAACUUAUAAGUUAUAGUAGUAUUAUGUUAUAAAUGCUUAUAAGCAUUUAUACCAUAAAAUUAAAUUAAUUUGGCCAAUUUUACAUACAAAAAAAUAUAAUUUCUAGUUGUCAGUUUAGGUAACCACCACCUAUUAUACUCUGACAUGCUAGAUAAAUUAUUUUGUAUGAAAAUCAUGGAAACAGUUUUUUUCUUCAAACAAAGUGCAAGUUGGCAUGUGCUGCAUUCCUAUACUGUUCUUGUAGGCCUUUUUUUGUACUGCAUAGUGCGCAUCGUCUUGAUGAUGUUUUUAUGGGUUGAUGCUUAUUUCCUUCAAAGCAGAUUUUGGCAUCUACUGAAGGUUUGUUUUUUUUUAUUGGAACAGUUUUUCUUCAUUCUCGGGCUAUAUGAUUUUGUGGUAGCCACUAUUUGCUUUGUUAGGAGAGCUUGAUAGAUUUUCCUACGAAAGUCUUUAUUACUGUAUUGCUCCAUAUUUAAUUCUUUACUGAUAAAUGCAUUUACUGUGCAGCAG